UUGCGGCCAUGUUAUGUUGAAACACUGGUUCUCGUAUGAUCAGCGAAGUUAAGCAACGUCGAGCCGUUCAGUAUGGGUGACCGUUUGGGAAUACCAGGUGAUG
Molecule: non-coding RNA, 103 nt
Organism: Acanthosepion pharaonis
Lineage: Eukaryota; Metazoa; Mollusca; Cephalopoda; Sepiida; Sepiidae
Source: the annotation of a GenBank genome assembly